UGAGACUUAGUCUGCUCAGACCUAAGAGGAAAAACCACCAAGAUUCCAAGGCCCUAUCCAGAUCUGCUUUUUUACCAAACGCUUACGUGAUGCUGAUGCUGCUAGCCUGCUGAGUCCCCUUGGAGUAACAAAGGUGUCACAGAAUUGGAAAAUGCAGUUUCAAAGGAAAUGGAAGGCAGCUCCUGACAGUUCCUCUUGGCAGUGUAGUCAGGGCAAGCCAAAAGUCUGGAUAUCCAUUCCUAGAGCAAGGCCGGCAGGUAGGCACGAGGGUGGUGGCCUCUUUCUCAUUAUGUGUCAGACAUCUUCACUAAGCACCCUCGAACUGCUGCUUCUCCUCUAG
This 340-nucleotide long non-coding RNA is filed under the name Chinchilla lanigera (long-tailed chinchilla). RNAcentral describes it as "lncRNA (ENSCLAG00000024006.1)". Lineage: Eukaryota; Metazoa; Chordata; Mammalia; Rodentia; Chinchillidae. The record is from RNAcentral.